CGAUGGCUCAGGAUGAACGCUAGCGACAGGCCUAACACAUGCAAGUCGAGGGGCAGCACAAGGAGCAAUCUGAGGUGGCGACCGGCGCACGGGUGAGUAACACGUAUGCAACCUGCCUGUAAGCGGGGAAUAACCCGUUGAAAGACGGACUAAUACCGCAUAAUACUAAAUUACUGCAUGGUAAUUUAUUUAAACAUUUAUGGACUUACAGAUGGGCAUGCGCAUGAUUAGCUAGUUGGAGAGGUAACGGCUCCCCAAGGCAACGAUCAUUAGGGGUUCUGAGAGGAAGGUCCCCCACACUGGUACUGAGACACGGACCAGACUCCUACGGGAGGCAGCAGUGAGGAAUAUUGGUCAAUGGGCGUAAGCCUGAACCAGCCAUGCCGCGUGCAGGAAGAACCGGCCUUAUGGGUUGUAAACUGCUUUUACAUAAGACUAACCGUAUAUUUGCGAAUAUACCUGAAUGUAUUAUGAGAAUAAGGAUCGGCUAACUCCGUGCCAGCAGCAGC
RNAcentral lists this ribosomal RNA (509 nucleotides) under uncultured bacterium. RNAcentral's name for it is "bacterial SSU rRNA". It matches the Rfam family "Bacterial small subunit ribosomal RNA", at positions 17 to 518 of the family's 1533-position model. The record is from RNAcentral.